RNAcentral lists this ribosomal RNA (571 nucleotides) under Leptodactylus latrans (criolla frog). Its description in RNAcentral is "partial large subunit ribosomal RNA". It matches the Rfam family "Bacterial large subunit ribosomal RNA", at positions 1819 to 2597 of the family's 2925-position model. The record is from RNAcentral. Lineage: Eukaryota; Metazoa; Chordata; Amphibia; Anura; Leptodactylidae.
CGCCUCUUGAAUAUUAUAAGAGGUCCAGCCUGCCCAGUGACUCUGUUCAACGGCCGCGGUAUCCUAACCGUGCGAAGGUAGCGUAAUCACUUGUUCUUUAAAUGAGGACUAGUAUGAAUGGCACCACGAAGGUUAUACUGUCUCCUUUCUUUAAUCAGUGAAACUAAUCUCUCCGUGAAGAAGCGGGGAUAUAAUUAUAAGACGAGAAGACCCUAUGGAGCUUUAAACGUGAGUAACAAUUGCCCGCCAUAAUAUUUUUCCCCGGAAAUUAACCACAAUACUUAGGCAUCUUGAUUACAAGUUUUAGGUUGGGGUGACCGCGGAGCAGAGAAUAACCUCCGCAGUGAAUGGAACUUAUUUCCUAAACCCAGGGCCACGACCCUAAGCAUCAAUAAAUUGACACUAAUUGACCCAAUAUUUUGAUCAAUGAACCAAGUUACCCUAGGGAUAACAGCGCAAUCCACUUCAAGAGCCCCUAUCGACAAGUGGGUUUACGACCUCGAUGUUGGAUCAGGGUAUCCCAGUGGUGCAGCCGCUACUAAAGGUUCGUUUGUUCAACGAUUAAAACCCU